CAGCCGCCGCGGUAAUUCCGGCGGCCCGAGUGGCGGUCACUAUUAUUGGGCUUAAAGCGUCCGUAGCCGGGUUGGGAAGUCCUCCGGGAAAUCUGGCCGCUUAACGGUCAGAAUGCCGGAGGAUACUCCCAGCCUAGGGAGCGGGAGAGGCCGAGGGUAUUCCCGGAGUAGGGGGGAAAUCCUAUAAUCCCGGGAGGACCACCUGUGGCGAAGGCGCUCGGCUGGAACGCGUCCGACGGUGAGGGACGAAGGCCAGGGGAGCAAACCGGAUUAGAUACCCGGGUAGUCCUGGCUGUAAACGAUGCGGACUUUGUGUCGGACAAGCUAUGAGCUUGUCCGGUGCCGGAGGGAAACCGUUAAGUCCGCCGCCUGGGGAGUACGGCCGCAAGGUUGAAACUUAAAGGAAUUGGCGGG
Molecule: ribosomal RNA, 414 nt
Filed under: uncultured microorganism
Description: bacterial SSU rRNA
Rfam family: Archaeal small subunit ribosomal RNA
Source: RNAcentral